RNAcentral lists this long non-coding RNA (887 nucleotides) under Homo sapiens (human). RNAcentral describes it as "HSALNT0085781". The record is from RNAcentral. Lineage: Eukaryota; Metazoa; Chordata; Mammalia; Primates; Hominidae.
AGCUGGCCUGCAAGCGCCGCCCGCAGCCGCGGUUCCCGCCGGCGCCUCUCCCUCCACACCUCCCUGCAAGCUGAGGGAGUGGGCUCCGGCCUUGGCCAGCCCAGAAAGGGGCCCCCACAGUGCAGCGGUGGGCUGAAGGGCUCCCCAGGUGCAUCCAAAGUGGGAGCCCAGGCAGAGGAGGCGCCGAGAGCGAGAGAGGGCUGUGAGGACUGCCAGCACGCUGUCACCUCUCAGAACCAGGGGAGAAACCUGAGAAGUGUCUUUCAGCACACUACCUGGAUCCUAAUGGUACAGUUGAAUGUAAUCCUACCUGACAUAAAACUGACGAAUGAAAGAAAUCAUAAAGAUACAUCAUGCAACCAAAAAUGUAACCUUCUCUUAUAUUAAAAGUUCUCUGUCAUUCUCACUUUCUUUGUCAUUUGCAUUGCUUCUUUUUGCUAUUUUUCCUCUUAUCAAUAUUCUAGCUGUCCCCUUUCCAUCUUCUUUACUAGUUUGUCUUCUACUUGACCAUUGAAGUUUCUUGUAGAUUGUUACAGAAGUAGCCCCCACUGUGUCCUGUGUCCUUGUAGUCACACCCAUGUGUUCUUUCUUCUCAAGUUGACUAAGGUGGGGUUUCUUGCUCUCCUCGGUGAUUGAGAUAUUGGCAGAUAUGAUGUCAGCAAAAGCUUGAAAGGUGUGGCCAUAGAGGAUUACUCUGCUUUUUGCUGUUUUUGGAAUGAAGACUCCAUGUGAAGAAUCCCAAACCAGCCUGAUGGAAGUGUGUGGACUGGAAAACAGCUAGCACCAAGGGCCAAUCAUGUGAGAAAGGCUAUUUUAUAGCCCUUAGCCCAAGACGAUGAGUUGAGUGCCCUAAGUUGAAAGCAACCAAAGAAGCACCCCAUAAACCC